AUUGAACGCUGGCGGCAGGCCUAAUACAUGCAAGUCGAGCGGAAACGAUGGGAGCUUGCUCCCAGGCGUCGAGCGGCGGACGGGUGAGUAACGCGUAGGAAUCUACCCAGUAGCGGGGGAUAGCCCGGGGAAACCCGGAUUAAUACCGCAUACGCCCCACGGGGGAAAGCAGGGGCCCUGUUUCUUUUACGAGAGGCGGACCUUGCACUAUUGGAUGAGCCUGCGUUGGAUUAGCUAGUUGGUGGGGUAAAGGCCUACCAAGGCGACGAUCCAUAGCUGGUCCGAGAGGAUGAUCAGCCACACUGGGACUGAGACACGGCCCAG
This 324-nucleotide ribosomal RNA is filed under the name uncultured bacterium. Its description in RNAcentral is "bacterial SSU rRNA". It matches the Rfam family "Bacterial small subunit ribosomal RNA", at positions 30 to 334 of the family's 1533-position model. The record is from RNAcentral.